This 129-nucleotide small RNA is filed under the name uncultured Anaerobutyricum sp. RNAcentral describes it as "Ribosomal protein L10 leader". It matches the Rfam family "Ribosomal protein L10 leader", at positions 19 to 134 of the family's 138-position model. From Rfam's summary of the family: This family is a putative r-protein leader autoregulatory structure found in B. subtilis and other low-GC Gram-positive bacteria. It is located in the 5' untranslated regions of mRNAs encoding ribosomal proteins L10 and L12 (rplJ-rplL). The record is from RNAcentral. Lineage: Bacteria; Bacillati; Bacillota; Clostridia; Lachnospirales; Lachnospiraceae.
AUGAACGCCGAAGACAGCAGGUGCCGCAAGGCAUAAGGAUUAAAACGCCUGCCGAGGAAGUAUAUUCGAAUGAUUGAUUUUGGAUAUUUAUGUACUCUUUUGUCAACGGACAGAAGAGUUUUUUCAUUU